CUCAAGUUGAAGAUCAUCGGCGUUAAGCGUGAUUAAAGUUCUCUUAGAUUAGGGCCAAAUUAAUAUUUAGUUGUUUAAAGCUUAUUAUUAAGAAGAACACAAACGAAAGUUGCCCUAACCCACACACUUGAAUACACGACAGCUGGGGAACAAACUGGGAUCAGAUACCCCACUAUGCCCAGCCGUAAACAAUUAAUCCACAACCACAAGCGCCAGGGAAUUACGAGCCAAGCUUAAAACCCAAAGGAUUUGACGGUGUCCCACCCCCCUAGAGGAGCCUGUUCUAUAAUCGAUGAUCCCCGCUACACCCGACCAUUUCUUGCUUACAUCAGUCUGUAUACCUCCGUCGAAAGCUUACCAUGUGAACGCCCCCCACAGUAGGUUCAAUGACCCCCGUCAAUACGUCAGGUCAAGGUGCAGCUUAAGAAAUGGGAAGCGAUGGGCUACAAUUUCUAACCUAGAACAAACGAAAGGCUAUGUGAAAUCAUAGUCACGAAGGCGGAUUUAGUAGUAAAAAGAAAAUAGAGUGUUCUUUUUAACCUGGCUCUGGGACGCGUACACACCGCCCGUCACCCUCUUCGAUAGUGCUAACCCACAGUCCAUAACCUAUUUAUACGUCUGAGAAGAGGCAAGUCGUAACAUGGUAAGUGUACUGGAAAGUGCACUUGGUAUAUUA
RNAcentral lists this ribosomal RNA (676 nucleotides) under Odorrana schmackeri (piebald odorous frog). RNAcentral's name for it is "partial 12S ribosomal RNA". It matches the Rfam family "Bacterial small subunit ribosomal RNA", at positions 608 to 1533 of the family's 1533-position model. Lineage: Eukaryota; Metazoa; Chordata; Amphibia; Anura; Ranidae. The record is from RNAcentral.